GAUGAACGCUGGCGGCGUGCUUAACACAUGCAAGUCGAACGAAGCGCUUUGGACAGAUUCUUCGGAUGAAGUCCUUAGUGACUGAGUGGCGGACGGGUGAGUAACGCGUGGGUAACCUGCCUCAUACAGGGGGAUAACAGUUAGAAAUGGCUGCUAAUACCGCAUAAGCGCACAGUACUGCAUGGUACAGUGUGAAAAACUCCGGUGGUAUGAGAUGGACCCGCGUUGGAUUAGCUAGUUGGCAGGGUAACGGCCUACCAAGGCGACGAUCCAUAGCCGGCCUGAGAGGGUAGACGGCCACAUUGGGACUGAGACACGGCCCAGACUCCUACGGGAGGCAGCAGUGGGGAAUAUUGCACAAUGGGGGAAACCCUGAUGCAGCGACGCCGCGUGAGCGAAGAAGUAUUUCGGUAUGUAAAGCUCUAUCAGCAGGGAAGAAAAUGACGGUACCUGACUAAGAAGCCCCGGCUAACUACGUGCCAGCAGCCGCGGUAAUACGUAGGGGGCAAGCGUUAUCCGGAUUUACUGGGUGUAAAGGGAGCGUAGACGGAAUGGCAAGUCUGAUGUGAAAGGCCGGGGCUCAACCCCGGGACUGCAUUGGAAACUGUCAAUCUAGAGUACCGGAGGGGUAAGUGGAAUUCCUAGUGUAGCGGUGAAAUGCGUAGAUAUUAGGAGGAACACCAGUGGCGAAGGCGGCUUACUGGACGGUAACUGACGUUGAGGCUCGAAAGCGUGGGGAGCAAACAGA
Molecule: ribosomal RNA, 748 nt
Filed under: uncultured bacterium
Lineage: Bacteria
Description: bacterial SSU rRNA
Rfam family: Bacterial small subunit ribosomal RNA
Source: RNAcentral